Molecule: ribosomal RNA, 553 nt
Filed under: uncultured bacterium
Lineage: Bacteria
Description: bacterial SSU rRNA
Rfam family: Bacterial small subunit ribosomal RNA
Source: RNAcentral
UAGGGAAUCUUCGGCAAUUGUGGGGCAACCCUGACCGAGCAACGCCGCGUGAGUGAAGAAGGUUUUCGGAUCGUAAAGCUCUGUUGUAAGAGAAGAACGAGUGUGAGAGUGGAAAGUUCACACUGUGACGGUAACUUACCAGAAAGGGACGGCUAACUACGUGCCAGCAGCCGCGGUAAUACGUAGGUCCCGAGCGUUAUCCGGAUUUAUUGGGCGUAAAGCGAGCGCAGGCGGUUAGAUAAGUCUGAAGUUAAAGGCUGUGGCUUAACCAUAGUACGCUUUGGAAACUGUUUAACUUGAGUGCAAGAGGGGAGAGUGGAAUUCCAUGUGUAGCGGUGAAAUGCGUAGAUAUAUGGAGGAACACCGGUGGCGAAAGCGGCUCUCUGGCUUGUAACUGACGCUGAGGCUCGAAAGCGUGGGGAGCAAACAGGAUUAGAUACCCUGGUAGUCCACGCCGUAAACGAUGAGUGCUAGGUGUUAGACCCUUUCCGGGGUUUAGUGCCGUAGCUAACGCAUUAAGCACUCCGCCCUGGGGAGUACGACCGCAAGGUUG